Molecule: ribosomal RNA, 253 nt
Filed under: uncultured bacterium
Lineage: Bacteria
Description: partial 16S ribosomal RNA
Rfam family: Bacterial small subunit ribosomal RNA
Source: RNAcentral
GACAGAGGGUGCAAACGUUGUUCGGAUUUACUGGGCGUAAAGCGCGUGUAGGCGGCUUUGCAAGUCGGAUGUGAAAUCCCACGGCUCAACCGUGGAAGUGCAUCCGAAACUGCAUCGCUGGAGUCUCGGAGAGGAAGGUGGAAUGCUUGGUGUAGAGGUGAAAUUCGUAGAUAUUGCGUAGAACACCAGUGGCGAAGGCGGCCACCUGGGAAGCGACUGACGCUAAGACGCGAAAGCGUGGGGAUCAAACAGG